RNAcentral lists this ribosomal RNA (823 nucleotides) under Mycobacterium sp. Its description in RNAcentral is "bacterial SSU rRNA". It matches the Rfam family "Bacterial small subunit ribosomal RNA", at positions 107 to 928 of the family's 1533-position model. Lineage: Bacteria; Bacillati; Actinomycetota; Actinomycetes; Mycobacteriales; Mycobacteriaceae. The record is from RNAcentral.
UGAGUAACACGUGGGCAAUCUGCCCUGCACUUCGGGAUAAGCCUGGGAAACUGGGUCUAAUACCGGAUAGGACCUUUAGGCGCAUGCCUUUUGGUGGAAAGCUUUUGCGGUGUGGGAUGGGCCCGCGGCCUAUCAGCUUGUUGGUGGGGUGAUGGCCUACCAAGGCGACGACGGGUAGCCGGCCUGAGAGGGUGUCCGGCCACACUGGGACUGAGAUACGGCCCAGACUCCUACGGGAGGCAGCAGUGGGGAAUAUUGCACAAUGGGCGCAAGCCUGAUGCAGCGACGCCGCGUGGGGGAUGACGGCCUUCGGGUUGUAAACCUCUUUCACCAUCGACGAAGGUCCGGGUUUUCUCGGAUUGACGGUAGGUGGAGAAGAAGCACCGGCCAACUACGUGCCAGCAGCCGCGGUAAUACGUAGGGUGCGAGCGUUGUCCGGAAUUACUGGGCGUAAAGAGCUCGUAGGUGGUUUGUCGCGUUGUUCGUGAAAUCUCACGGCUUAACUGUGAGCGUGCGGGCGAUACGGGCAGACUAGAGUACUGCAGGGGAGACUGGAAUUCCUGGUGUAGCGGUGGAAUGCGCAGAUAUCAGGAGGAACACCGGUGGCGAAGGCGGGUCUCUGGGCAGUAACUGACGCUGAGGAGCGAAAGCGUGGGGAGCGAACAGGAUUAGAUACCCUGGUAGUCCACGCCGUAAACGGUGGGUACUAGGUGUGGGUUUCCUUCCUUGGGAUCCGUGCCGUAGCUAACGCAUUAAGUACCCCGCCUGGGGGAGUACGGCCGCAAGGCUAAAACUCAAAGGAAUUGACGGGGGGCCCGCACAA